GACGAACGCUGGCGGCGUGCUUAACACAUGCAAGUCGAACGGAAAGGCCCUGCUUUUGUGGGGUGCUCGAGUGGCGAACGGGUGAGUAACACGUGAGUAACCUGCCCUUGACUUUGGGAUAACUUCAGGAAACUGGGGCUAAUACCGGAUAGGAGCUCCUGCUGCAUGGUGGGGGUUGGAAAGUUUCGGCGGUUGGGGAUGGACUCGCGGCUUAUCAGCUUGUUGGUGGGGUAGUGGCUUACCAAGGCUUUGACGGGUAGCCGGCCUGAGAGGGUGACCGGCCACAUGGGGACUGGGAUACGGCCCAGGCUCCUACGGGAGGCAGGAGUGGGGAAUAUUGCAAAAGGGGGGGAAUCCUGAUGCAGCAACGCCGCGUGGGGGAUGACGGCCUUCGGGUUGUAAACCGCUUUCGCCGGUGACGAAGCGGGGGUGACGGGAAUGGGUAAAGAAGCACCGGCUAACUACGU
This 467-nucleotide ribosomal RNA is filed under the name uncultured bacterium. RNAcentral describes it as "partial 16S ribosomal RNA". It matches the Rfam family "Bacterial small subunit ribosomal RNA", at positions 28 to 506 of the family's 1533-position model. The record is from RNAcentral.